Molecule: small nuclear RNA, 114 nt
Organism: Ziziphus jujuba (common jujube)
Lineage: Eukaryota; Viridiplantae; Streptophyta; Magnoliopsida; Rosales; Rhamnaceae
Product: U5 spliceosomal RNA
Exons: 1
Source: RefSeq, a predicted model, not a curated record
CCGUGCGGUGCACACAGAGCGAACUAUUCUUUCGCCUUUUACUAAAGAAUACCGUGUGUGCGAAUUUCAAAUUUUAACAUUCAUUUAUGUUUUUAGAAUGAAUUUCAAUUUGAC